AUGGGCGGCUGUGCUACUGCCAAAAAUAAAUGCUGCGGUGGCCCUUCCCAAAUGCGUAUGGACUCAGCUGGAUCCCCAGGACUUUUUAUAGCCCUUCAGCUCAGUCCUAUCUUUGGUAGCAUCAGCAUCCCCAUAGCAACCAACUGUGAUGUCAAAGUAACAUGUUUUUUGGUGAGAACAGCAGGGAGCAGCGAACUCUUCAUAAGCAAAGAUCCAGUUUUCAUGCAAAUGUCUCGUAAUGUUUGCCGACCGCUGUUCAUGGGACAUGUGUGUGCUGUUGAGGAGAAGGCUACGCUCCUCUCAGAGCAAAAGGAAGCAGUAAUAGGAAAGGAAAAGACACAGUAGUACCAUGUUAAAUACAAACAUAUAUAUAUAUAUAUAUAUUUUUUUUUUGUAAGCCAGAACUAGUAUAAUGAGUUAAUGUCAGCCAUUUCCAGGCCUUUCCACUUGGGGAUAUUUUCCCAGGGGAUGGGUGGAUUGCAGUGAUGUGAACUGAGGCUCCUGACAGUAGGUGUGGUUUUCUGUGCUGCUUUUCAGGACUUCUUACAAGCAUGAUCCCAGGAACUUGCAGCCUACAGGCAAAGGAUCAUGGGUUUGUGUAUUAUGCUGACAGUUGUAAGGGAGUCGAGCAAACAAAUGAACUGUUAAGUUAUGGAGGUUACUUGCUAACUGUACCUUAAAUAGACCCUCAAAACCACAGAUUCCUCCCUUGCCUCAUCCUUCUGCAGAGUUGCCUCUGUGCAUAUCCUCUAACCCAGAAGACAGCAAUGAGCAGUGGAGGAUUUCACUUGUAAUAGGAUCUGUCCAUCUUUAUCUGCAGCACUGCAUAUUCUUUGGACCAAAAGACUCACGUGAUUCAGACUGCCCUGUGGCAUUAAGGAUUAAGCCUGUAAUUUGGAACAAGUUUGGUUUGUAGGACAGAGUUCCCCCCCUGCUGAGGCUCGAAGAAACAACGUAUUGUAACUUCAUGCUGCAAAGAGUAGAAUUUAUCUACUCAGAGCUCUCCUAAGUGCUGGCUGCUUUGUUGGAACGAUCGUGUUUUCAGGCUCCUUGCUGCUGUCUCAAGAGCAAGGUGUGCUGCAGGCUGGAGGAUGCUGGGAGGUGUUGAGCUGAGGAGCUCUGGGGCUGGAAGGGAAUUACGAGAGCAGCAGGCAGAUUGGGACUGUAGUGAGUUCCCCAGCCUAUCUGUCAAAUGAAAGCCAGGGCAGAGGGCUGCAGGAGGAGCCCUGGGAGUGCUGGGAGAGGGCAGACUCAGAGAGAAGCUUUUAUUCAUGGAAGAUUCACUUAGUCUUAAGUGAUGAUAUCAGUGAAUGAGAUUUACCCAAUUCUAAUCUGGGCAAUAGAGAGUCAACCUGCUCCUCCCUGCCUGACCUGAAUCAACGAAGAAAUGAGUUUACCUCCUCUUUAAUUACAGAUAUAUCACUGGCUCAAUGGCAACUGAAAAUGCCAUGUGGUUUC
Molecule: long non-coding RNA, 1458 nt
Filed under: Meleagris gallopavo (turkey)
Lineage: Eukaryota; Metazoa; Chordata; Aves; Galliformes; Phasianidae
Description: lncRNA (ENSMGAG00000022692.1)
Source: RNAcentral